This 448-nucleotide ribosomal RNA is filed under the name uncultured bacterium. RNAcentral describes it as "bacterial SSU rRNA". It matches the Rfam family "Bacterial small subunit ribosomal RNA", at positions 29 to 523 of the family's 1533-position model. The record is from RNAcentral.
AACGAACGCUGGCGGUAGGCCUAACACAUGCAAGUCGAGCGAUCUCUUCGGAGAUAGCGGCGGACGGGUGAGUAACGCGUGGGAACAUACCCAGAGGUACGGAACAACAGUUGGAAACGACUGCUAAUACCGUAUACGCCUACGGGGAAAGAAUUUCGCCUUUGGAUUGGCCCGCGUUGGAUUAGAUAGUUGGUGGGGUAAUGGCCUACCAAGUCGACGAUCCAUAGCUGGUUUGAGAGGAUGAUCAGCCACACUGGGACUGAGACACGGCCCAGACUCCUACGGGAGGCAGCAGUGGGGAAUCUUAGACAAUGGGGGAAACCCUGAUCUAGCCAUACCGCGUGAGUGAUGAAGGCCUUAGGGUCGUAAAGCUCUUUCGCCAGGGAUGAUAAUGACAGUACCUGGUAAAAGAAGUCCCGGCUAACUCCGUGCCAGCAAGCCGCGGUAA